AUGGCUAGACGACUGAUGGACCUUUGGAAUGAAUGGGAGAUCCAAAUCCUGGUACUUGUCAGCUACACAUUGCAAGUCAUCCUUGUUGCCCUCGCCAGGAACCGUCGGCUCCAGGCCUCUGCCGUGCGGAGGUUGGUCCUCUGGCUUGCAUACCUGCUGGCAGACUCCACAGGGUUAUAUGCCAUCGGCCACAUAUCCCUUAGCAGCAGGCUUCCUGAGCACCGGCUGGUUACUUUCUGGGCACCGUUUUUGCUGCUGAACCUGGGUGGCCCGGACAACAUCACCGCCUAUUCACUUGAUGACAAUCGACUCUGGUUGCGCCACAUGCUAACUAUGGUAGUGCAGGUCCUGGGAGCUGCAUAUAUUGUCUACAGGUCUGCCACUGCCAACGGGACAUUUGUGUUUAUCGCUUCCCUCUUGAUGUUCACUGUCGGUGCUGUAAAGUAUGGGGAGAGGACAUGGGCACUCAAGCGUGCGAACCUAGAGAGUAUCCGGAGUUCCCUCAACAAAGCCUGUGGCAAGGAGUACUGUUAUGCUAAGCCUAAAAGUGCCAAAGGAAAGAUUGAUGAUGAAGCCCUCCGGAUGACUGCUCAUUCCCUGUUUUAUACUAUUUGCAUGCAAGCCCUAGUUAGUUCUUCAUCGGCCACCAAGACAGGUCUAAGUGAAGACCGGGUUCAUGUAAUGAGAUAUUCCUUUGUAUGGCGGGAUAUGUGGAAGAUGGUUGAAAUGGAACUCGCGCUGAUGUAUGACAUACUGUACACCAAGGCUGCAGUGAUCCACACAUGGUCUGGCUACUGCAUCCGGGGCCUUUCACCACUCAUCAUCACAACUGCGUUUUUGCUCUUUCAGUUCAGUGGAGAAGAUGGUUACAACAAGAUGGACGUCGUUGUCACUUAUGUUUCAUUUUGUGGUGCCUUCAUUCUGGAGCUAUCGUCGCUACUCGGAGCUAUGGGAUCAAGCUGGACAAGGGCAAGGGCAGGCCAACGAACCUGGCUUCUUUGUCUCCACCGGUGUGUCAAUUAUAUCAAGUUAGGGAACCACAAGAGGUGGCCAAGCACCAUUGGGCAGUAUAACUUGCUGCACUUGUCCACUCGUGAUACUAAUGAGCUUGGCAGCGGAGCAGCAAAGAAGAUUGGACUCGAGGACUGGUGGAACAAACAGCACAACACAGGGAAACUUACAAGUACUGCGGAUGUCAACAAGUUGGUUUUCAAGCAUAUAUCAAGAACAUUGGAGAAUGAAGACUCCUUGGACGUGCUCAGGAAAGAGAGGGGCCGGGUGACACUCGAGAGAAAUGGAUUGUAUGAUGAUCUUCACCGUACUAUCGAGGGAGAAUUUCAUGGGGGCAUUAUCACCUGGCACAUCGCCACUGAUGUCUUCCUCUGCAAGAGCAAGCAAGCCAAGGGACAAGAUGCAACACUAAUUGUCAACGCGGUUCAGACCCUCUCCAACUACAUGAUGUUCCUCCUAGUGGCACGCCCCUAUAUGCUGCCAGGCCUUGUCCUCCAAAGCCUGUAUGAGCAAACCUGCAAUGGUUUGCUCGAUCUGUGGCAUCAGGAUGGCUCAACUGACACCGAUUGUCAAGCAUCUUCUCACUCAAGCCACCCCAACAGCUGGAGCUUAAUUUACCUGCCUAAGAAAAUUUUCAAGGCUGACGAUCCAAAUUCUUCCAGGCUCCCCGAGAGAGAGAAGCUUGCCCAGAUCCUGCUCAACAGAAACGCUGGCUCGCUGAAUGACGACACCGCUAGAAAACCUGGCCUUGUUCUAGCUGCUCAGCUGGCGGAUAAGUUGCUAGCCAAGGAGAUGGAGAUGGAUGUGCCAGAUAUGUUGGACGUCAUCCUUGGAGUGUGGGUGGAGAUGCUAUGCUACGCAGCCAACCGAUGUAGCAAGGAUGCCCACGCCAGGCAGCUCAACAGCGGCGGCGAGUUGACGACCAUCGUCUGGCUUCUCACAGAACAUGCUGCCCUUUUCCCUGUCGACGAAUCUCGCAAUUGUGCCCUGAUAGAAUAA
Molecule: ribosomal RNA, 2010 nt
Filed under: Triticum aestivum (bread wheat)
Lineage: Eukaryota; Viridiplantae; Streptophyta; Magnoliopsida; Poales; Poaceae
Description: partial small subunit ribosomal RNA
Source: RNAcentral